This 292-nucleotide ribosomal RNA is filed under the name uncultured bacterium. RNAcentral describes it as "partial 16S ribosomal RNA". It matches the Rfam family "Bacterial small subunit ribosomal RNA", at positions 505 to 796 of the family's 1533-position model. The record is from RNAcentral.
GUGCCAGCAGCCGCGGUAAGACGGAGGAUGCAAGCGUUAUCCGGAAUUAUUGGGCGUAAAGCGUACGUAGGCUGUUUGAUAAGUCUGUUGUCAAAGCCCGAGGCUCAACCUUGGAUCGGCAAUGGAAACUGUGAGACUAGAGAGAGAUAGGGGCAGGAGGAAUUCCAGGUGUAGCGGUGAAAUGCGUAGAUAUCUGGAAGAACACCAGUGGCGAAAGCGUCCUGCUGGAUCUCAACUGACGCUGAAGUACGAAAGCUAGGGGAGCGAAUGGGAUUAGAAACCCCCGUAGUCC